This is a long non-coding RNA of Priapulus caudatus, 952 nucleotides long. RefSeq lists it as uncharacterized. The record is from RefSeq and is a predicted model, not a curated record. The transcript has 4 exons. Lineage: Eukaryota; Metazoa; Priapulida; Priapulimorpha; Priapulimorphida; Priapulidae.
UAAAAUGGCGUGACAUUUGUUACGUUUCAGUGAAUUUAAAACAUUUAACAAAGAAUUAAAUCAAUUUCUUGCUGUAUGAUAUUCGCUAUGAAAAGUGGGGAGGCUUUAGACAUUCCAUGGUUACGAGGGGUUUAAAAUCAUCUCGAGGAAGAAGGAGGAUGAGAAAGAAAAAGAAGGCGAAGAAGAAGGAGAAGAAGACGAAGAAAAAAACCAACAGAGAGAAUCUGCGAAACAUCUGCACUGAUGAGGCCCAAUGUAAUAACGAGCCACAGUGUACCAGUAGCGGCGACUAUGAGACAUUGCAGGCAAAGAUGAAUAUUGUCACCAAGCUGUCGAGUAGCCGUUUUUUGGAUGUCAUUGCCGGUCAAGCAGCACCAACGCCACUUCAAAGUUUGCAUAUCACCAUUGGUUAUGAAGACUAGUGUGUUGGGUGGACAGGUAUUGAGCAAGGUAUAUAUCAGAGAGAGAAGAGGAAUAAUUGGUGCCAAGGUGCUAGGUCAUAAAGCUGGGAUUGGAGCAUGCUAACUUUUUGGACAGGAGACCCGGGACAGGAGAGGAGACUCAUGACAGGAGAGGAGCCCAGGACAGGACAGGAGACCCACGACAGGAGAGGAGCCCAGGACAGGACAGGAGACCGAGGACAUUACAGGAGCAACCAACUACCAUUUAUUGAGAAGCUGCAAACACUGCCACUCCUGAGUACUAGCGCGUGCCCACUUAUGUACGAGGUUUUCGUCAGGCUGACAGAAGUUGUAAGUGUGUAAAUCAUUGAUGCUAGAACUGUUGUAUAAAUGCACAUUGUGUAAAACGUCAAGUUGUCUAGCUACCGUGUGUACAUCGUUACUCAAAUGCAAAGUCAUGUUUUUCAUUGAGUUCGGUUUUUAGACUUCAGCUAUUCAGUAAUCGAAAUAGUUUAACAGAUUUUUUAGUGACAAAUUCUGAACAUAUGUUA